RNAcentral lists this long non-coding RNA (250 nucleotides) under Cyanistes caeruleus (blue tit). Its description in RNAcentral is "lncRNA (ENSCCEG00000003806.1)". Lineage: Eukaryota; Metazoa; Chordata; Aves; Passeriformes; Paridae. The record is from RNAcentral.
CAAAACACCUGAUGACAUCAUGAUCUGCUCUGGGAAACAUCUGGUCUUGAGAGUUUAUGUGACAGUUCUUCACUUUUCUGAAUCCUCCUGAUAAUAUUUAUGGGAAUCUUUGAGCCACUGUUUUGAACACGUGCAGAGGGAAUGGUUGUAAAUGAACAUCCAAGUUCUGCAGUGCAAACUGAAAAGCCAACUCAUCAAAUUCACAAUGCAAGAAAAUAUCCAGCCAAUGUUACUGUCACUUCAAAUGGAC